This 266-nucleotide long non-coding RNA is filed under the name Mytilus galloprovincialis (Mediterranean mussel). Lineage: Eukaryota; Metazoa; Mollusca; Bivalvia; Mytilida; Mytilidae. The record is from RNAcentral.
GUAAACAGCAAAAAUGAUCAGCAAAGUAAGAUCUACAAAUAGGUUAAUAUGAACAAAAUUGUCAAUUGACCCUUAAGGGGUAAAUGUCCUUUAAUGACAAUUUUUCACAUGUUUGCCUGGCAUGGUUCAAUAUGUUCAAUAAGGCAUUGUUUACCAGGUGAGCGAUUCAGGCUCUUGAGAGCCUCUUGUUUCAUUUGUUUUUGGUCAUUAUCUUGAAUAUCAUUAUAGAUAAAGAUAAACUGUAAACAGCAAAAAUGAUCAGCAAA